CACCUACGGGUGGCAGCAGUGGGGAAUUUUGGACAAUGGGGGCAACCCUGAUCCAGCCAUUCCGCGUGAGUGAAGAAGGCCUUCGGGUUGUAAAGCUCUUUUGUCCGGAGCGAAACGGGCGCGGCUAAUAUCCGCGUUCACUGACGGUACCGGAAGAAUAAGCACCGGCUAACUACGUGCCAGCAGCCGCGGUAAUACGUAGGGUGCGAGCGUUAAUCGGAAUUACUGGGCGUAAAGCGUGCGCAGGCGGUUUUGUAAGCCAGUCGUGAAAUCCCCGGGCUCAACCUGGGAAUGGCGAUUGGGACUGCAAGGCUGGAGUAUGGCAGAGGGGACUGGAAUUCCUGGUGUAGCAGUGAAAUGCGUAGAUAUCAGGAGGAAUACCGAUGGCGAAGGCAGGUCCCUGGGCUGAUACUGACGCUCAUGCACGAAAGCGUGGGGAGCAAACAGGAUUAGAUACCCUGGUAGUCCACGCCCUAAACGAUGUCGACUGGUUGUUGGGGGUUUGACACCUUCAGUAACGAAGCUAACGCGUGAAGUCGACCGCCUGGGGAGUACGGCCGCAAGGUUAAAACUCAAAGGAAUUGACGGGGACCCGCACAAGCGGUGGAUUAUGUGGAUUAAUUCGAUGCAACGCG
RNAcentral lists this ribosomal RNA (635 nucleotides) under uncultured bacterium. RNAcentral describes it as "bacterial SSU rRNA". It matches the Rfam family "Bacterial small subunit ribosomal RNA", at positions 335 to 963 of the family's 1533-position model. The record is from RNAcentral.